This 367-nucleotide ribosomal RNA is filed under the name uncultured Bacteroides sp. RNAcentral describes it as "bacterial SSU rRNA". It matches the Rfam family "Bacterial small subunit ribosomal RNA", at positions 527 to 896 of the family's 1533-position model. The record is from RNAcentral. Lineage: Bacteria; Pseudomonadati; Bacteroidota; Bacteroidia; Bacteroidales; Bacteroidaceae.
GGAGGAUCCGAGCGUUAUCCGGAUUUAUUGGGUUUAAAGGGAGCGUAGGUGGAUUGUUAAGUCAGUUGUGAAAGUUUGCGGCUCAACCGUAAAAUUGCAGUUGAAACUGGCAGUCUUGAGUACAGUAGAGGUGGGCGGAAUUCGUGGUGUAGCGGUGAAAUGCUUAGAUAUCACGAAGAACUCCGAUUGCGAAGGCAGCUCACUAGACUGUUACUGACACUGAUGCUCGAAAGUGUGGGUAUCAAACAGGAUUAGAUACCCUGGUAGUCCACACAGUAAACGAUGAAUACUCGCUGUUUGCGAUAUACAGUAAGCGGCCAAGCGAAAGCAUUAAGUAUUCCACCUGGGGAGUACGCCGGCAACGGUG